This is a non-coding RNA of Plectropomus leopardus (leopard coralgrouper), 465 nucleotides long. NCBI's taxonomy places the organism in Eukaryota, Metazoa, Chordata, Actinopteri, Perciformes, Serranidae. The record is from RefSeq and is a predicted model, not a curated record.
UCUGCUGUCGCUCGCACUUCACUCGAAAUCCGAGAGCAGGAGGCGAAAGGGGAAACACAUUCACAAGAUAAUGAAGCCUGAGUGUCGGUUCAUCUCACCGCGUUAGGUUUUUACGUGACACCGUCAAAAGCUCGCCGGUAAAUGUGAUUUGGCUGCACCCACCAUGUCCAGAGGUGCGUGGUCCAAGCGUUCGAGGUCUGGGGCAUCCCCGGGGCUGUGUGAGCCCCCUCAGGGUCCGGGCAUCCAUGUGUACCUGUUCUGGUCAAAGGAGGGUGAAAGAUAUUUGUCCCACACAGGUGGACAGGUCACAGCAGAGGAGCUGUGCAUCUCAGCUGCAGAGGCUGUAGGGAUAACUCCUUUGUGCCAUGUGUUGUUUGCUCUGUAUAAUCCACAAUCUCGCUGCUGGUACAGUCCGAACCACGACUUCAGUCCAGAGAACGCUGGCCUCGUACUUCACUACUGUAU